This 478-nucleotide ribosomal RNA is filed under the name uncultured bacterium. RNAcentral describes it as "partial 16S ribosomal RNA". It matches the Rfam family "Bacterial small subunit ribosomal RNA", at positions 28 to 523 of the family's 1533-position model. The record is from RNAcentral.
GACGAACGCUGGCGGCGUGCUUAACACAUGCAAGUCAAACGGUAAGGCCCUUCGGGGUACACGAGUGGCGAACGGGUGAGUAACACGUGGGUGAUCUGCCCUGCACUUCGGGAUAAGCCUGGGAAACUGGGUCUAAUACCGGAUAGGACCACUGCCUGCAUGGGUGGUGGUGGAAAGCUUUUGCGGUGUGGGAUGGGCCCGCGGCCUAUCAGCUUGUUGGUGGGGUGAUGGCCUACCAAGGCGACGACGGGUAGCCGGCCUGAGAGGGUGACCGGCCACACUGGGACUGAGAUACGGCCCAGACUCCUACGGGAGGCAGCAGUGGGGAAUAUUGCACAAUGGGCGCAAUCCUGAUGCAGCGACGCCGCGUGAGGGAUGACGGCCUUCGGGUUGUAAACCUCUUUCAGCACCGACGAAGCGCAAGUGACGGUAGGUGCAGAAGAAGGACCGGCCAACUACGUGCCAGCCGCCGCAGUAA